AACGAACGCUGGCGGCAUGCCUAACACAUGCGAGUCGAACGAGACCUUCGGGUCUAGUGGCGCACGGUUUCGUAACGCGUGGGAACCUUCCCUUAGGUUCGGAAUAACUCCCCGAAAGGGGUGCUAAUACCGGAUAAUGUCUUCUGACCAAAGAUUUAUCGCCUUUGGAUGGGCCCGCGUUGGAUUCGCUAGUUGGUAGGGUAAAAGCCUACCAAGGCGACGAUCCAUAGCUGGUAUGAGAGGAUGAUCAGCCACACUGGGACUGAGACACGGCCCAGACUCCUACGGGAGGGAGCAGUGGGGAAUAUUGGAAAAUGGGCGAAAGCCUGAUGCAGCAAUGACGCGUGAGUGAUGAAGGCAUUAGGGUUGUAAAGCUCUUUUAACCGGGAUGAUAAUGACAGUACCGGGAGAAUAAGCGCCGGCUAACUCCGUG
RNAcentral lists this ribosomal RNA (433 nucleotides) under uncultured bacterium. Its description in RNAcentral is "partial 16S ribosomal RNA". It matches the Rfam family "Bacterial small subunit ribosomal RNA", at positions 29 to 507 of the family's 1533-position model. The record is from RNAcentral.